Molecule: ribosomal RNA, 377 nt
Filed under: uncultured bacterium
Lineage: Bacteria
Description: bacterial SSU rRNA
Rfam family: Bacterial small subunit ribosomal RNA
Source: RNAcentral
GUAGUCCACGCCGUAAACGAUGAGUGCUAAGUGUCGGGGGGUUUCCGCCCCUCGGUGCUGGAGUUAACGUAUUAAGCACUCCGCCUGGGGAGUACGACCGCAAGGUUGAAACUCAAAGGAAUUGACGGGGACCCGCACAAGCGGUGGAGCAUGUGGUUUAACUCGAAGCUACGCGAAGAACCUUACCAGCUCUUGACAUCUUCUGUCCACUCUAGAGAUAGAGCUUCCCCUUCGGGGGCAGAAUGACAGGUGGUGCAUGGUUGUCGUCAGCUCGUGUCGUGAGAUGUUGGGUUAAGUCCCAUAACGAGCGCAACCCUUAUUGUUAGUUGCCAGCAUUCAGUUGGGCACUCUAGCGAGACUGCCGGUGAUAAACCGGA